AAUCGUUCGUCUGACUUG
RNAcentral lists this small nuclear RNA (18 nucleotides) under Arabidopsis thaliana (thale cress). Its description in RNAcentral is "snRNA_03624". Lineage: Eukaryota; Viridiplantae; Streptophyta; Magnoliopsida; Brassicales; Brassicaceae. The record is from RNAcentral.